RNAcentral lists this ribosomal RNA (719 nucleotides) under uncultured bacterium. RNAcentral's name for it is "bacterial SSU rRNA". It matches the Rfam family "Bacterial small subunit ribosomal RNA", at positions 63 to 777 of the family's 1533-position model. The record is from RNAcentral.
CGAGCGGUAACGCGGGAGCAAUCCUGGCGACGAGCGGCGAACGGGUGAGUAAUGCUUCGGAAUCUACCCACGGGUGGGGAAUAACCAAUCGAAAGGUUGGCUAAUACCGCAUACGUCCUACGGGGGAAAGCGGGGGAUCGUAAGACCUCGCGCCGGUGGAUGAGCCGAAGUCGGAUUAGCUAGUUGGUAGGGUAACGGCCUACCAAGGCGACGAUCCGUAGCUGGUCUGAGAGGACGACCAGCCACACUGGGACUGAGACACGGCCCAGACUCCUACGGGAGGCAGCAGUGGGGAAUAUUGGACAAUGGGGGAAACCCUGAUCCAGCGACGCCGCGUGUGUGAAGAAGGCCUGCGGGUUGUAAAGCACUUUUAGUGGGGAUGAAAAGCCUGACGUUAACACCGUCGGGUCUUGACCUAACCUACAGAAAAAGCACCGGCUAACUCUGUGCCAGCAGCCGCGGUAAUACAGAGGGUGCGAGCGUUAAUCGGAAUUACUGGGCGUAAAGCGUGCGUAGACGGUCAUGCAAGUCGGAUGUGAAAGCCCCGGGCUCAACCUGGGAAUUGCAUUCGAGACUGUAUGGCUAGGGUGCGGAAGAGGGAAGCGGAAUUUCCGGUGUAGCGGUGAAAUGCGUAGAUAUCGGAAGGAACACCAGUGGCGAAAGCGGCUUCCUGGUCCGACACCGACGUUCAGGCACGAAAGCGUGGGGAGCAAACAGGA